This 522-nucleotide ribosomal RNA is filed under the name uncultured bacterium. RNAcentral's name for it is "bacterial SSU rRNA". It matches the Rfam family "Bacterial small subunit ribosomal RNA", at positions 988 to 1509 of the family's 1533-position model. The record is from RNAcentral.
CCAGAGAACUUUCCAGAGAUGGAUUGGUGCCUUCGGGAACUCUGAGACAGGUGCUGCAUGGCUGUCGUCAGCUCGUGUUGUGAAAUGUUGGGUUAAGUCCCGCAACGAGCGCAACCCUUUAUCCUUUGUUGCCAGCGGUUAGGCCGGGAACUCAAAGGAGACUGCCAGUGAUAAACUGGAGGAAGGUGGGGAUGACGUCAGGUCAUCAUGGCCCUUACGAGUAGGGCUACACACGUGCUACAAUGGCGCAUACAAAGAGAAGCGACCUCGCGAGAGCAAGCGGACCUCAUAAAGUGCGUCGUAGUCCGGAUUGGAGUCUGCAACUCGACUCCAUGAAGUCGGAAUCGCUAGUAAUCGUGGAUCAGAAUGCCACGGUGAAUACGUUCCCGGGCCUUGUACACACCGCCCGUCACACCAUGGGAGUGGGUUGCAAAAGAAGUAGGUAGCUUAACCUUCGGGAGGGCGCUUACCACUUUGUGAUUCAUGACUGGGGUGAAGUCGUAACAAGGUAAGCGUAGUGCU